CCGCCGUUGUAGGCGGGCACGCGGGCGUCAUCAAAGCCUGGAGGGGCAAAGGGUGAAGGCACCCCGCAUAACACCUUCCCGACCAGGCUCUGAGAUGCAGGUCCUUGAGAGAUGCAAACAAUACGGCACUCGGAGCAGACACUUAGAGCAGCUCUCAUUUCAAAGAACCCAGUGCUUGUGUCCCAGUAUGAGAAGUUGGGUGCUGCAGAAAGGCGGUUGAUGAAUGAAGCCUUCCGACCAGCCAGUGAUCUCUUUGAACCCAUUACCUUGCAUUCUCAAUCAGAUUGGAUCACCUCCCAUCCUGAGCCUCCCCAAGACUUUGAAGAGUUUUUCAAUGAUCCUUCCAGAAAGACACCCUCUCCAGAGAAACACAGUAUUUAUAUACAGUGUAUCGGAUCUCUAGGAAACACCAGAGUUAUCAGUGAAGAAUAUAUUAAAUGGCUCAAGGGCUACUGUGAAGCAUUUUUCUAUGGCUUGACAGUAAAACUCCUAGAACCGGUUCCUGUCACUGCAACCAAGUGUUCCUUUAGAGUCAAUGAUAACACACAAAACCUACAAAUACAUGCAGGGCACAUCCUGAAGUUCUUAAAAAAGAAGAAACCUGAAGAUGCCUUCUGUAUUGUGGGAAUAACAAUGAUUGACCUUUACCCAAGAAACUCCUGGAAUUUUGUCUUUGGACAGGCCUCUUUGACAGAUGGUGUGGGGAUAUUCAGCUUUGCCAGGUAUGGCAGUGAUUUUUACAGCUCAAGCUAUGAAGGCAAAGCAAAGGCAUUCCAGAAAAAGUCUUCAAGUGACUAUUCGGUUUUUGAUGACUAUUACAUUCCUGCAGUGACUAGCGUUUUGCUGCUUCGGUCCUGUAAGACUUUAACUCACGAGAUUGGACACAUAUUUGGACUUCGACACUGCCAGUGGCUCGCAUGCCUAAUGCAAGGCUCCAACCACUUGGAAGAGGCUGACCGGCGCCCCCUACACCUGUGCCCUAUCUGUUUACGCAAGUUGCAGUGUGCUAUUGGCUUCAACAUUAUAGAAAGAUACAAAGCACUGGUGAGGUGGAUUGACGAUGACUCUGCUGACACACCUCGAGUCACUCCAAAACAUAGUCGCGAGGAUAAUGUGAAUUUGCCAAAACCUGUGGAAGCCUUUAAGGAGUGGAAAGAGUGGAUAAUAAAAUGCCUUGCUGUUGCCCAAAAAUCAGAACCUUCAUAUAGGAGUAAUUAAAAUAAGUACUUGUACCUUAUGCUUUCUUUUGGAUCAAGUACUUCUCUGGAAUAAACUGUUUACUGAUCCUGUCUUGUAUCAAAGUAACAGAAGAGAAGCACCUUCAAAACACUUGAACUUGAAAUGAAGCUCAUUUUGAAUGAUAAAAACUCUAAACGCUUUUGUUUUUUUAGCCUGGUCUGUGAUAGCAAGCACAUCCAUCAUAUCCAUUCUUCAAAUAUGUUUAUUUAUAUGUCUCCUGUGAAGGCUAGGACCAGCAGUAACUAUGCUUACUUGACUGGGGGAGAGAAUGUGAUAGCAUUACCUGUGGCUGUGCCAGGAAGGACCAGGAUGGCCUGAUGAUCAUGGGUUCAUUUUCGUGCUGGGGAACAGGCUAAAAACCUCAGACGGAACAAACUGCUUCUGCUUGAUCAGCGUGUGCCGGUCACGGUGACGAGAUGUUAGGAUGGUCAUCGGACUGGGUGCUAGUGAGCGGAGAGCAUUUCUCCCUUUCCCAUCUUAACCUCAAAGGUGAAACUUAAAGGUAAUUAUUGUUUCAAACUUUGAAACCCAAUUUUUCCUUUGUUAUCCAUGCAGUAUGAUUUAAAGAACAUUUAUAACUGAAUCAGUGAUUUCCCUCACAUCCAGUCCCCUACUUGAUUAAGCCUCUAAGUCAUUUAGGAAAUGAUGGUUUGCCAUUAAAUCAGUUGGGGAGUGAAUGCUUGGUCAUUUUGUAUACUGAGAAGAGAACCCAUGGAGCAUGGACUUCUGUGAAUUCUGUUAUGGGUUCUGUUUCCCCAGUACUGUCUUUUUCCCAAAUAAUGUACUUUUAAUUAUUAUUCAAUCCAUCCAUUUAAAAAUUUAUUUAUUUAUUUUUAGACAGAGGGGAAGGGAGGGAGAAAGAGAAGGAUAGAAACAUCAGUGUGUGGUUGCCUCUCGCACACCCCCUACUGGGAAGCUGGCCCAAAACCCAGCAUGUGUGUUGACUGGGAAUCAAACUAGCCACCCUUUGGUUUGUUGACUGGUGCUCAAUCCACUGGGCCACACCAGCCAGGGCUCCAUCCACUGGUUUUCAUUUUCCUACAAAGUAAGCGCAGGUUUAGUCCUGUAGGUUAGCAUUAGUUAUAACCUAAAAAGUCAAAUUUGGUGAAGUGUAUAAAGUGGGGUCACAAUUACUUGGACAAGAUGUAAUGCCCAUUUGUACCUGCUCUGCAUUGUAAGAUCAGGAAAACAGUCUGCUAUUAAAAAACCAAAUCAUCCAGUUUUGAAACAAAUCAAAAGUGGGACAAACAUAAGUUUUAUGUAACAGGCAUUCACUUAAGUAUUGUGAAUAAGUACUGGGUUGAUGCACUUUUGGGUAAUUUCUUAGGGUUAGGUUUAAAAAUAUAAUUAUUGCAACUAAAUUUUAUGUCCUAUCUUUAUAUCUUUAGAAAAAUGAUUUUUCACUCAGUAACAAGCAGAAAUCCAUGCAGAUUUUGCUCUGCACAUGCUGAAUGAACAAGAGCUUUAAGACUAAAAAGAAUUAAUCAUUUUCUGCUGUCUAAACACUAUUUUAGAAAUAGGUGACUCUGAAGUGCUGUUCACUUUGGUGCCUAUGGGAUUAGUAGUAUCUCUCAGGUCAAGGGAAGGAUUAAGUGUUAACAUUUCAGUCCCCCAAGACUAUUGAUGGGGGGAGGGUUAAAGAGAAGAAUGUGGCAAGGAUUCUACUUAGGUUGUUAUUCAGCGUGUUCUAUUAAGUGCAAGUUCCCCGGACAUGAAUACUUGUAAAUGUCUAACACUUUAGGACCCCAGGGCCUGAGUUGUUACCUCUUUAAAGCAAGCAUGAUAAAAUCUGUGCAGGCAGCUGUGGGACCUCCGGCAGCCCUGCGAGCUGGCCUUUCCUUCUCAGGAAGCAGUAUCACUGCCCCUGGCAGAGAGACCCAGCACAGGAGCUUGAGCCUCAGACCUCAGACUGGCAGCUGCAAGCCAUCACUCCAAGCAAGCCUCCUGCUUCUGUCCCGAGGAAGUCCCUCAGCUCUCCAGAGCCGAGGAUGGUGACUCCGCCUUCCCCAGCGCCAGGUACCCCUGAAGGGACCACCAUCCUGCCAUGCCGCACACAUGUGUUUACCCUCAGUGGGCUAUACCCCGGGGGGAGGCCUUGGAAAAUCUGUGUGCCAGUGCAGCAGAGCAGUAAGUGGAAACACUUCUCAGGGAGAGAGCACGCACACAGUGCUUUCCAAGAGUUAGGUCUUAGUCAGUUCUUUGGUUCUGAUUGAUAGUCUAGAGCAGAAACAUCUAAUGUAAUGAAUAUAAUAUGAGCCACAUACAUAAUUUAAAUUUUUCAAAUGGCCUCAUUAGUAUAUGCUAAAAGAAGCAGGUGAAUAUAUUUUAGUCAUAUAUUUUAUUUAAUCCAAUAUAUCCUAUGCUAUCAUUUCAACAGGUAAUGAAUAUACAAAUUAUUAAGAUAUUUUACAUUCUAUUUUCAUACUAAGUCUUCAAACUCUGGCUGUUUUUUUACCCAUACAGCACAACUCAGUUCCCACUGAGCACAUUUCAGGUGCUCAGCAGCUCCACCUGACUCAUGGCUACUGUACUGGACAACCCCAGCUCUAGAUUAGUACCAUUUUGUAGUCUACAUGGAAGGCAUAUGAAAUUGAAUGAACAGGGGAAAAAAAGCUUUCUAAAGUAAGAGGUUUUGCAGGUCCUCUGGCAGUGCAGUAUGGGUUGAUAUUCAAGUUGCAAGGUGUGAACACUUUUGGAUCUUGCCGUUAACCUCUGCGGCAGGUUGUUUUUACACUUUCUGUUGUCAAGGACCCGGUAUUUCCUUUAAUGUGUUUUCAUUUUUGGAAAUCAAAAUUUUAAAGUAUUAAUAACGUGAGUGUUGCUGAGUCCAUUUCAAAGAGAGGAAACAAGCCCACAGUAGCUAGUAAACUGUGUGCAGCGACACCAGAGGCAGAAACGGGACCAUAUCCCAAGUCUUCCUAAUUUCAUUUUUGCUGUGCUGUAUUUCCACUGCGCUGCAUGACCUCAUAAAAAGUAAAGUAUUACAAGCCAGAAACCUGCCAUAUUUUUACAGAUUGUUUAUAGAAGGGAUUAUAAGAUUAAAGUCUUUUUUCAUUUCUUUUGUCUUCAAGUGAGACCAUCUGGGGUUGAUCAAGGUCAGCAAAAUCAGAGUACUUUGCCUUAGUACCAAGAAAGAGGUUCAGUAUCCAGAACUUGCCAGUAGUUGAGGCAUUAAAAAAAAAAAGUAUAAUGGAAAAAUGUCUACUAGAAAUAGGUUAAGUGAAAACAAAGGCUGCUCCAGCAAAAUGUUAAAAUUCAGAGCCUGCAUUCUCCUUCCACCCUAGUGGUCAUUUCUUCCCACUGUUUAGUCUCUGAUGGAUCUGUGUUUUCUUCCUUACACCUGACCUGCGUAUAGAGGACAUUAUUGCUGGGCACUUUGAGACCCCUCUCAGACAUUGGACCUGUAACAGGCUUUGAGCACAGUGCUUUGUGUCCUGUGCCCAGGCAGUCUAAAUGCUUCAUAGCAGCACCAGCCACUCUUGAGCUAUAAUCAUGAAUAGAUAUCAACUUUUUUCUCUAGCAAAAGUCAGUGAAAAGUAAAGAACUCAUUCAUUCAUUCAACAGUGUUUUGGGAGCAUUGCCUACUAUGUGCCAGGCCUGCUCAACACCUUGGAUAUGCAGCAGUGAACAAAAAACUGGUUUCCUAAUGUGAUUAUUGAAGAGACAGAUUAAUGAAAUAAGUAAACAUAUACGUUUAUAACCUAAUGUCAGAGUAAAGGGUGAGUAGCAACUGGUAUUUCAAAUAGGAUAGUCAGGAAUGCCUCCUCAGGGUGACCUUUGUAGGGGACCAAAUGGAAGUGUCAUGUCAUGUACACAUUAGGGGAAGGGUGCACCAGGCAAAGGGAACCACAAAUGCCAAGGCCUAAUUCUUGUGGUUUCAAGGAGCAAUAGGAAGGCCAGUGCAGCUAGAGUAGCAGUACCAAGGGGGAAUGUAAUAGCCUCCAUCAGGUUGUACAGGAAGAGCCCAUUGUUAAGGAUUGGGUUUUCAAUAUGAUCAUGUCUGACUUGUGCUUUGAAAGGAUAUCAUAAGGCUGCCAUCUGGAAACUAGAGGCCAAGGUGUGGUGGUUGGAUAGAUAGCAAGAGUGGAAGCAGGUAAGCCAGCUAGAAGUUGAUUGCAAUAGUCCAGCUAAAGAUGAUACUGGCUUGGAUCAGGGGUACUGGUCGUUUGACAAAGGCAGUCAGGUCCUGGAUAUGUUUAGGAGGUAGAGCCAACAGGAUUGGUGGAGGAGCAUGUUUGGAGAGCAGGAUCAAGAGUUCUGUGGAGGACUUGUUAUAUUGGAGAUGCCUCGUUGGCAUGGCACCCACCUGCUGUCACAUGGGCGUGUAUCAGUCCAGAGCUCAGUGACACAGUCUGGACUUGGUGUGGGAGUUGACAGUGUGGAGAAGGUACUUAAAGCUUUGACUGCAUUCUGGGGGCAUAAGUUGCGAGGAGAGUUAGUGUGCUUGCUUUUUUUCUUGAGUUGCUGGAGAAGUAUGUAAGUAAUAUAUUGCUAGCUGCAUGGCCAUAGUUUGUAUUAUCUGUCAAUAAUCUUUCAUGAGCUAUAUUUGAAAAUUCACCCUGGCCAGUGUGAUUCACUUGGUUGGAUUGUCGUCCUGUAAACUGAAUGGUUGUGGGUUUGAUUCCCAGUCAGGGCACAUACCCAGGGUGUGGGCUCAGUCUCUCGAGACUGUGUAGGAGAGGCAGCCAAUUGUUUCUCUCUUACAUCCAUGUUUUUCUCCCUCCCUUCCCUUUUCCCUAAAAAAAUCAGUGGGCAGGUCCUUGGGUAAGGAUUAAAAAAAAACCUUUAUAGAUAGAGGCUUGGAUUAUCAGUUUUGCUAUCUAAUUUCCCCUUAGUCUAUAGUCACUGAAGUAAUUUUGAUCUGGAUGUGAGAGGUUUUCUUCUAUGAAGAGCCAAGUUUUUCUUGUUCUGUUUGUCAGGGAGUCAUUACAGAAACUGAACACAAGGGGGAGAGAGUUUCCUUACCUAUGCAAUAGUGGCUGGGCCACCUGUUGGAACCCUCACUUCUCUUAACCUUAUAUCAAAAACAAAUUUGGUGACAAGGAUAAUGUCUCGUUUAUCAAUACAAUGUAUAUUUAUAGGAGAUAUCUUUUAACAUGUAACAUAUAUGAUUUGUCUUUACAUUGGUACUUCCAGUUUCUUUUAUUUUUCUUGCAUCAGUAAAUUUAUUGCAAGUAAGAAUUGUAUACACACACCAGGCAUGUUUUUCCACAUAAAAGCCAGCAUUGUAAUACAAAUACUUAACACUUUGGCCAUGAAACUCAAAGAUAAAAAAAACUUCUCAAGGUAUUUAUAUUAAGUAACUGAGUUCUUUAAUAUUUGUAAUCUAUGCUUAUUUAAUUAUAAUUUUGAAAAUAUAAUUAUAUUGUUCAUUAUUCAUUAUGCUUAUUGUAUAUGACAUCUUUUCUGAAAUUUUAUGUCCUUCAAAAUAUAACUUUUCAUGACUUCAAAAUAUCCAUAUGUACCUCUUAGUGAUACUAUUGUAAAACCAAAAUUGUUUUCAA
Phyllostomus discolor (pale spear-nosed bat) is the source of this 6743-nucleotide RNA transcript. It is a transcript of the gene named archaelysin family metallopeptidase 2, with no coding region annotated. The record is from RefSeq and is a predicted model, not a curated record. Lineage: Eukaryota; Metazoa; Chordata; Mammalia; Chiroptera; Phyllostomidae. The transcript is spliced from 9 exons.